CGUUAUAACCGGCGAUUUCCGAAUGGGGAAACCCAGUGUGUUUCGACACACUAUCAUUAACUGAAUCCAUAGGUUAAUGAGGCGAACCGGGGGAACUGAAACAUCUAAGUACCCCGAGGAAAAGAAAUCAACCGAGAUUCCCCCAGUAGCGGCGAGCGAACGGGGAGCAGCCCAGAGCCUGAAUCAGUGUGUGUGUUAGUGGAAGCGUCUGGAAAGGCGCGCGAUACAGGGUGACAGCCCCGUACACAAAAAUGCACAUGCUGUGAGCUCGAUGAGUAGGGCGGGACACGUGGUAUCCUGUCUGAAUAUGGGGGGACCAUCCUCCAAGGCUAAAUACUCCUGACUGACCGAUAGUGAACCAGUACCGUGAGGGAAAGGCGAAAAGAACCCCGGCGAGGGGAGUGAAAAAGAACCUGAAACCGUGUACGUACAAGCAGUGGGAGCCUCUUUUAUGGGGUGACUGCGUACCUUUUGUAUAAUGGGUCAGCGACUUAUAUUCUGUAGCAAGGUUAACCGAAUAGGGGAGCCGAAGGGAAACCGAGUCUUAACUGGGCGUUAAGUUGCAGGGUAUAGACCCGAAACCCGGUGAUCUAGCCAUGGGCAGGUUGAAGGUUGGGUAACACUAACUGGAGGACCGAACCGACUAAUGUUGAAAAAUUAGCGGAUGACUUGUGGCUGGGGGUGAAAGGCCAAUCAAACCGGGAGAUAGCUGGUUCUCCCCGAAAGCUAUUUAGGUAGCGCCUCGUGAAUUCAUCUCCGGGGGUAGAGCACUGUUUCGGCAAGGGGGUCAUCCCGACUUACCAACCCGAUGCAAACUGCGAAUACCGGAGAAUGUUAUCACGGGAGACACACGGCGGGUGCUAACGUCCGUCGUGAAGAGGGAAACAACCCAGACCGCCAGCUAAGGUCCCAAAGUCAUGGUUAAGUGGGAAACGAUGUGGGAAGGCCCAGACAGCCAGGAUGUUGGCUUAGAAGCAGCCAUCAUUUAAAGAAAGCGUAAUAGCUCACUGGUCGAGUCGGCCUGCGCGGAAGAUGUAACGGGGCUAAACCAUGCACCGAAGCUGCGGCAGCGACGCUUAUGCGUUGUUGGGUAGGGGAGCGUUCUGUAAGCCUGUGAAGGUGUGCUGUGAGGCAUGCUGGAGGUAUCAGAAGUGCGAAUGCUGACAUAAGUAACGAUAAAGCGGGUGAAAAGCCCGCUCGCCGGAAGACCAAGGGUUCCUGUCCAACGUUAAUCGGGGCAGGGUGAGUCGACCCCUAAGGCGAGGCCGAAAGGCGUAGUCGAUGGGAAACAGGUUAAUAUUCCUGUACUUGGUGUUACUGCGAAGGGGGGACGGAGAAGGCUAUGUUGGCCGGGCGACGGUUGUCCCGGUUUAAGCGUGUAGGCUGGUUUUCCAGGCAAAUCCGGAAAAUCAAGGCUGAGGCGUGAUGACGAGGCACUACGGUGCUGAAGCAACAAAUGCCCUGCUUCCAGGAAAAGCCUCUAAGCAUCAGGUAACAUCAAAUCGUACCCCAAACCGACACAGGUGGUCAGGUAGAGAAUACCAAGGCGCUUGAGAGAACUCGGGUGAAGGAACUAGGCAAAAUGGUGCCGUAACUUCGGGAGAAGGCACGCUGAUAUGUAGGUGAAGCGACUUGCUCGUGGAGCUGAAAUCAGUCGAAGAUACCAGCUGGCUGCAACUGUUUAUUAAAAACACAGCACUGUGCAAACACGAAAGUGGACGUAUACGGUGUGACGCCUGCCCGGUGCCGGAAGGUUAAUUGAUGGGGUCAGCGCAAGCGAAGCUCUUGAUCGAAGCCCCGGUAAACGGCGGCCGUAACUAUAACGGUCCUAAGGUAGCGAAAUUCCUUGUCGGGUAAGUUCCGACCUGCACGAAUGGCGUAAUGAUGGCCAGGCUGUCUCCACCCGAGACUCAGUGAAAUUGAACUCGCUGUGAAGAUGCAGUGUACCCGCGGCAAGACGGAAAGACCCCGUGAACCUUUACUAUAGCUUGACACUGAACAUUGAGCCUUGAUGUGUAGGAUAGGUGGGAGGCUUUGAAGUGUGGACGCCAGUCUGCAUGGAGCCGACCUUGAAAUACCACCCUUUAAUGUUUGAUGUUCUAACGUUGACCCGUAAUCCGGGUUGCGGACAGUGUCUGGUGGGUAGUUUGACUGGGGCGGUCUCCUCCUAAAGAGUAACGGAGGAGCACGAAGGUUGGCUAAUCCUGGUCGGACAUCAGGAGGUUAGUGCAAUGGCAUAAGCCAGCUUGACUGCGAGCGUGACGGCGCGAGCAGGUGCGAAAGCAGGUCAUAGUGAUCCGGUGGUUCUGAAUGGAAGGGCCAUCGCUCAACGGAUAAAAGGUACUCCGGGGAUAACAGGCUGAUACCGCCCAAGAGUUCAUAUCGACGGCGGUGUUUGGCACCUCGAUGUCGGCUCAUCACAUCCUGGGGCUGAAGUAGGUCCCAAGGGUAUGGCUGUUCGCCAUUUAAAGUGGUACGCGAGCUGGGUUUAGAACGUCGUGAGACAGUUCGGUCCCUAUCUGCCGUGGGCGCUGGAGAACUGAGGGGGGCUGCUCCUAGUACGAGAGGACCGGAGUGGACGCAUCACUGGUGUUCGGGUUGUCAUGCCAAUGGCACUGCCCGGUAGCUAAAUGCGGAAGAGAUAAGUGCUGAAAGCAUCUAAGCACGAAACUUGCCCCGAGAUGAGUUCUCCCUGACUCCUUGAGAGUCCUGAAGGAACGUUGAAGACGACGACGUUGAUAGGCCGGGUGUGUAAGCGCAGCGAUGCGUUGAGCUAACCGGUACUAAUGAACCGUGAGGCUUAACCUUACAACGCCGAAGGUGUUU
Molecule: ribosomal RNA, 2826 nt
Filed under: Escherichia coli
Lineage: Bacteria; Pseudomonadati; Pseudomonadota; Gammaproteobacteria; Enterobacterales; Enterobacteriaceae
Description: bacterial LSU rRNA
Rfam family: Bacterial large subunit ribosomal RNA
Source: RNAcentral